RNAcentral lists this ribosomal RNA (478 nucleotides) under uncultured bacterium. Its description in RNAcentral is "partial 16S ribosomal RNA". It matches the Rfam family "Bacterial small subunit ribosomal RNA", at positions 28 to 523 of the family's 1533-position model. The record is from RNAcentral.
GACGAACGCUGGCGGCGUGCUUAACACAUGCAAGUCGAACGGUAAGGCCCUUCGGGGUACACGAGUGGCGAGCGGGUGAGUAACACGUGGGUGAUCUGCCCUGCACUUCGGGAUAAGCCUGGGAAACUGGGUCUAAUACCGGAUAGGACCACUGCCUGCAUGGGGGGUGGUGGAACGCUUUUGCGGUGUGGGAUGGGCCCGCGGCCUAUCAGCUUGUUGGUGGGGUGAUGGCCUACCAAGGCGACGACGGGUAGCCGGCCUGAGAGGGUGACCGGCCACACUGGGACUGAGAUACGGCCCAGACUCCUACGGGAGGCAGCAGUGGGGAAUAUUGCACAAUGGGCGCAAGCCUGAUGCAGCGACGCCGCGUGAGGGAUGACGGCCUUCGGGUCGUAAACCUCUUUCAGUAGGGACGAAGCGCAAGUGACGGUACCUACAGAAGAAGGACCGGCCAACUACGUGCCAGCCGCCGCUGUAA